RNAcentral lists this ribosomal RNA (563 nucleotides) under uncultured Bacilli bacterium. RNAcentral describes it as "bacterial SSU rRNA". It matches the Rfam family "Bacterial small subunit ribosomal RNA", at positions 185 to 732 of the family's 1533-position model. Lineage: Bacteria; Bacillati; Bacillota; Bacilli. The record is from RNAcentral.
CUCGCAUGAGAGAUAUUUAAAGGUUGGUUAUGCUAACACUAUGAAAGAUGGCUUUUGCGGUGCAUUAGCUAGUUGGUGGGGUAAAGGCCCACCAAGGCGACGAUGCAUAGCCGACCUGAGAGGGUGAUCGGCCACACUGGGACUGAGACACGGCCCAGACUCCUACGGGAGGCAGCAGUAGGGAAUCUUCCGCAAUGGGCGAAAGCCUGACGGAGCAACGCCGCGUGAGUGAAGAAGGAUUUCGGUUCGUAAAGCUCUGUUGUUAGGGAAGAAUGGAUAUGUAGUAACUAUACAUAUAAGAGACGGUACCUAACCAGAAAGCCACGGCUAACUACGUGCCAGCAGCCGCGGUAAUACGUAGGUGGCAAGCGUUGUCCGGAAUUAUUGGGCGUAAAGCGCGCGCAGGUGGUUUAAUAAGUCUGAUGUGAAAGCCCACGGCUCAACCGUGGAGGGUCAUUGGAAACUGUUAAACUUGAGUGCAGGAGAGAAAAGUGGAAUUCCUAGUGUAGCGGUGAAAUGCGUAGAGAUUAGGAAGAACACCAGUGGCGAAGGCGGCUUUUUGG